Non-coding RNA from Triticum aestivum (bread wheat), 125 nucleotides. NCBI's taxonomy places the organism in Eukaryota, Viridiplantae, Streptophyta, Magnoliopsida, Poales, Poaceae. The record is from Rfam.
UUACUACUCUCUCCGUCCAGAAUUACUUGUCGAAAAGACGGAUAAAAAUGGAUGUAUCAAUAACUAAAAUAUGUCUAGAUACAUCCAUUUCUCUGACAAAUAAUUUAGGACAGAUGGAGUAUGUU